AGAGUUUGAUCCUGGCUCAGGAUGAACGCUAGCGGCAGGCUUAAUACAUGCAAGUCGAACGGUAACAUGAGAGCUUGCUCUUGAUGACGAGUGGCGCACGGGUGCGUAACGCGUAUGCAACCUACCCUUUACUGGAGGAUAGCCCGGAGAAAUUCGGAUUAAUACUCCAUAGUAUCAUAAUGCAACCUUGUAUAAUGAUUAAAGAUUUAUUGGUAAAGGAUGGGCAUGCGUGACAUUAGUUAGUUGGUGAGGUAACGGCUCACCAAGACGAUGAUGUCUAGGGGUUCUGAGAGGAUGAUCCCCCACACUGGUACUGAGACACGGACCAGACUCCUACGGGAGGCAGCAGUAGGGAAUAUUGGUCAAUGGGCGAGAGCCUGAACCAGCCAUGCCGCGUGUAGGAAGACGGCCUUCUGGGUUGUAAACUACUUUUAUAUAGGAACAAAUGGGCCAUGCGUGGCAAGUUGAGUGUACUAUAUGAAUAAGCACCGCUAACU
Molecule: ribosomal RNA, 497 nt
Filed under: uncultured bacterium
Lineage: Bacteria
Description: bacterial SSU rRNA
Rfam family: Bacterial small subunit ribosomal RNA
Source: RNAcentral